GAUGAACGCUAGCGACAGGCCUAACACAUGCAAGUCGAGGGGCAGCACAGUGUAGCAAUACACGGGUGGCGACCGGCGCACGGGUGCGUAACGCGUAUCCAACCUUCCCGUUACUCUUGGAUAGCCUUCCGAAAGGGAGAUUAAUACAAGAUGGUAUUCAAAUUCCGCAUGUUAUUUGAAUUAAAGAUUUAUCGGUAACGGAUGGGGAUGCGUGACAUUAGAUAGUAGGCGGGGUAACGGCCCACCUAGUCUACGAUCUUUAGGGGUUCUGAGAGGAAGGUCCCCCACACUGGUACUGAGACACGGCCCAAACUCCUACGGGAGGCAGCAGUGGGGAAUAUUGCACAAUGGGGGAAACCCUGAUGCAGCGACGCCGCGUGAGCGAUGAAGUAUUUCGGUAUGUAAAGCUCUAUCAGCAAGGAAGAUAAUGACGGUACUUGACUAAGAAGCCCCGGNUAACUACGUG
RNAcentral lists this ribosomal RNA (466 nucleotides) under uncultured bacterium. RNAcentral's name for it is "bacterial SSU rRNA". It matches the Rfam family "Bacterial small subunit ribosomal RNA", at positions 28 to 507 of the family's 1533-position model. The record is from RNAcentral.